AAGAUCUUCGUCGGUGGUAU
Molecule: microRNA, 20 nt
Filed under: Heligmosomoides polygyrus
Lineage: Eukaryota; Metazoa; Nematoda; Chromadorea; Rhabditida; Heligmosomidae
Description: hpo-miR-10146-5p
Source: miRBase by way of RNAcentral